RNAcentral lists this transfer RNA (105 nucleotides) under Candida albicans. It matches the Rfam family "tRNA". From Rfam's summary of the family: Transfer RNA (tRNA) molecules are approximately 80 nucleotides in length. Their secondary structure includes four short double-helical elements and three loops (D, anti-codon, and T loops). RNAcentral also lists the same sequence under 24 other names. The record is from Rfam by way of RNAcentral. Lineage: Eukaryota; Fungi; Ascomycota; Pichiomycetes; Serinales; Debaryomycetaceae.
GCUCCCCUGGUGCAGUUGGUUAGCAUUUGGGCCUCCGGUGUCUUGUGUAAAUUAAUACCAUGACAAGCAAGCUCAGGGUCGCGGGUUCGAGUCCCGCGGGGAGCU